Molecule: non-coding RNA, 26 nt
Filed under: Cricetulus griseus (Chinese hamster)
Lineage: Eukaryota; Metazoa; Chordata; Mammalia; Rodentia; Cricetidae
Source: RNAcentral
GUCUUGACUGGCAGAACUUUUAAGAG